This 488-nucleotide ribosomal RNA is filed under the name Babesia cf. odocoilei. RNAcentral describes it as "SSU rRNA". It matches the Rfam family "Eukaryotic small subunit ribosomal RNA", at positions 501 to 1040 of the family's 1831-position model. Lineage: Eukaryota; Apicomplexa; Aconoidasida; Piroplasmida; Babesiidae. The record is from RNAcentral.
UCUUGUAAUUGGAAUGAUGGUGACCUAAACCCUCACCAGAGUAACAAUUGGAGGGCAAGUCUGGUGCCAGCAGCCGCGGUAAUUCCAGCUCCAAUAGCGUAUAUUAAACUUGUUGCAGUUAAAAAGCUCGUAGUUGAAUUUUUGCGUCACCGUGUAUCGACAUUUGUCGUUUAUCGGUUUCGCUUUUGGGAUUUAUCCCUUUUUACUUUGAGAAAAUUAGAGUGUUUCAAGCAGACUUUUGUCUUGAAUACUUCAGCAUGGAAUAAUAGAGUAGGACUUUGGUUCUAUUUUGUUGGUUUGUGAACCUUAGUAAUGGUUAAUAGGAACGGUUGGGGGCAUUCGUAUUUAACUGUCAGAGGUGAAAUUCUUAGAUUUGUUAAAGACGAACUACUGCGAAAGCAUUUGCCAAGGACGUUUUCAUUAAUCAAGAACGAAAGUUAGGGGAUCGAAGACGAUCAGAUACCGUCGUAGUCCUAACCAUAAACUAA